AUUGAACGCUGGCGGCAUGCUUUACACAUGCAAGUCGAACGGUAACAGGGUGCUUGCACCGCUGACGAGUGGCGAACGGGUGAGUAAUGCGUCGGAACGUGCCGAGUAGUGGGGGAUAACGCAGCGAAAGUUGUGCUAAUACCGCAUACGUACUGAGGUAGAAAGUGGGGGACCUUCGGUCCUCACGCUAUUCGAGCGGCCGACGUCAGAUGAGGCAGUAGGUGAGGUAAAGGCGCACCUAGGCGACGGUCAGUAGCGGGUCAGAGAGGAUGAUCCGCCACACUGGGACUGAGACACGGCCCAGACUCCUACGGGAGGCAGCAGUGGGGAAUUUUGGACAAUGGGCGAAAGCCUGAUCCAGCCAUGCCGCGUGUCUGAAGAAGGCCUUCGGGUUGUAAAGGACUUUUGUCAGGGAGGAAAUCCCUAGUGCUAAUAACACUGGGGGAUGACAGUACCUGAAGAAUAAGCACCGGCUAACUACGUGCCAGCCGCCGCCGUAA
Molecule: ribosomal RNA, 500 nt
Filed under: uncultured bacterium
Lineage: Bacteria
Description: partial 16S ribosomal RNA
Rfam family: Bacterial small subunit ribosomal RNA
Source: RNAcentral